AUGAACGCUGGCGGCGUGCCUAAUACAUGCAAGUCGAGCGAACAGACGAGGAGCUUGCUCCUCUGACGUUAGCGGCGGACGGGUGAGUAACACGUGGAUAACCUACCUAUAAGACUGGGAUAACUUCGGGAAACCGGAGCUAAUACCGGAUAAUAUAUUGAACCGCAUGGUUCAAUAGUGAAAGACGGUUUUGCUGUCACUUAUAGAUGGAUCCGCGCCGCAUUAGCUAGUUGGUAAGGUAACGGCUUACCAAGGCAACGAUGCGUAGCCGACCUGAGAGGGUGAUCGGCCACACUGGAAUUGAGACACGGUCCAGACUCCUACGGGAGGCAGCAGUAGGGAAUCUUCCGCAAUGGGCGAAAGCCUGACGGAGCAACGCCGCGUGAGUGAUGAAGGUCUUCGGAUCGUAAAACUCUGUUAUUAGGGAAGAACAAAUGUGUAAGUAACUAUGCACGUCUUGACGGUACCUAAUCAGAAAGCCACGGCUAACUACGUG
Molecule: ribosomal RNA, 496 nt
Filed under: uncultured bacterium
Lineage: Bacteria
Description: partial 16S ribosomal RNA
Rfam family: Bacterial small subunit ribosomal RNA
Source: RNAcentral